RNAcentral lists this ribosomal RNA (252 nucleotides) under uncultured bacterium. Its description in RNAcentral is "partial 16S ribosomal RNA". It matches the Rfam family "Bacterial small subunit ribosomal RNA", at positions 524 to 775 of the family's 1533-position model. The record is from RNAcentral.
UACAGAGGUCUCAAGCGUUGUUCGGAUUCAUUGGGCGUAAAGGGUGCGUAGGCGGCGGGGUAAGUCGGAUGUGAAAUCUCAGGGCUCAACCCUGAAACUGCAUUCGAUACUGCUCUGCUCGAGGACUCGAGAGGAGAUUGGAAUUCACGGUGUAGCAGUGAAAUGCGUAGAUAUCGUGAGGAAGACCAGUGGCGAAGGCGGAUCUCUGGAGAGUUCCUGACGCUGAGGCACGAAGGCCAGGGGAGCAAACGG